This 368-nucleotide ribosomal RNA is filed under the name uncultured organism. RNAcentral's name for it is "bacterial SSU rRNA". It matches the Rfam family "Bacterial small subunit ribosomal RNA", at positions 526 to 896 of the family's 1533-position model. The record is from RNAcentral.
CGGAGGAUUCAAGCGUUAUCCGGAUUUAUUGGGUUUAAAGGGUGCGUAGGCGGCUUUUUAAGUCAGGGGUGAAAGACGGUAGCUCAACUAUCGCAGUGCCCUUGAUACUGAAGAGCUUGAAUGUACUUGAGGUAGGCGGAAUGUGACAAGUAGCGGUGAAAUGCAUAGAUAUGUCACAGAACACCAAUUGCGAAGGCAGCUUACUAAAGUAUGAUUGACGCUGAGGCACGAAAGCGUGGGGAUCAAACAGGAUUAGAUACCCUGGUAGUCCACGCCCUAAACGAUGAACACUCGAUGUUGGCGAUAUACGGUCAGCGUCUAAGCGAAAGCGUUAAGUGUUCCACCUGGGGAGUACGCCCGCAAGGGUG